RNAcentral lists this ribosomal RNA (468 nucleotides) under uncultured bacterium. Its description in RNAcentral is "partial 16S ribosomal RNA". It matches the Rfam family "Bacterial small subunit ribosomal RNA", at positions 28 to 507 of the family's 1533-position model. The record is from RNAcentral.
GACGAACGCUGGCGGCGUGCUUAACACAUGCAAGUCGAACGGAAAGGCCCUGCUUUUGUGGGGUGCUCGAGUGGCGAACGGGUGAGUCACACGUGAGUAACCUGCCCUUGACUUUGGGCUAAAUUCAGGAAACUGGGGCUAAUACCGGAUAGGCGCUCCUGCUGCAUGGUGGGGGUUGGAAAGUUUCGGUGGUUGGGGAUGGACUCGCGGCUUAUCAGCUUGUUGGUGGGGUAGUGGCUUACCAAGGCGUUGACGGGUAGCCGGCCUGAGUGGGUGACCGGCCACAUGGGGACGGAGAUACGGCCCGGACUCCUACGGGAGGAAGCAGGGGGGAUUAUGGCACAAUGGGCGGAGGCCUGAGGAAGCAACGCCGCGUGCGGGAGAACGGCCUUCGGUUGGUAAACCGCUUUCGCCUGGAACGAAGCGUGAGUGACGGUAAUUGGUAAAGAAGCACCGGCUAACUACGUG